This is a long non-coding RNA of Struthio camelus australis, 428 nucleotides long. Lineage: Eukaryota; Metazoa; Chordata; Aves; Struthioniformes; Struthionidae. The record is from Ensembl.
CUGGCUGGUGCUCUCAGGCUCUGUCUGUGCCCUGCCCUGUGGGAGCGCGGAGGAAGAGCCUUGACGGCAUUGAUGAGGCAGCUCAUUCUGGACACCAUUUCCAAGAAUAUGAAAGUGACAGCAAAAGAAGGCCAAUACACAGAGACGGGAGUUUCUGGAGAACAGGAGAUGGACGGGGCCAUGGGAGACAGGAAGAGAUGUGAGAAAUAAAAAAAUGGGUUUGUUUUAUGCAAACAACAAGCUAUAUUUCCCAUCUGGAAGCGUUUCUUCUGUUGACUGAGACACAAAGAUUGACUCUGAGACUAUGGGCUUCAUUCCCUUUCCUCUAGAAUUAUUUUUCUCUGCAGGAAAAAUCCUAUAGGAAAGGUGAAAAUAGACUUCAAUGAAAAGCCAAUAAAAUCAUCCAAAAACACCUUUAGAAUUGAGGU